AAUGGCCAUACCACUCUGAACAUGCCCAAUCUCAUCUGAUCUUGGAAGCUAGGCAGUGAAGCUAUGCCUGGUUAGUGCUUAGAAGGGAGAUCACCUGGAAAUACAGGUAUUGUAGGCUAUUA
This 122-nucleotide ribosomal RNA is filed under the name Jaculus jaculus (lesser Egyptian jerboa). The record is from RNAcentral. Lineage: Eukaryota; Metazoa; Chordata; Mammalia; Rodentia; Dipodidae.